This 273-nucleotide ribosomal RNA is filed under the name uncultured bacterium. Its description in RNAcentral is "partial 16S ribosomal RNA". It matches the Rfam family "Bacterial small subunit ribosomal RNA", at positions 523 to 796 of the family's 1533-position model. The record is from RNAcentral.
AUACGGAGGGUGCGAGCGUUAAUCGGAAUUACUGGGCGUAAAGCGUGCGUAGGCGGUUUGCUAAGUCAGAUGUGAAAGCCCCGGGCUUAACCUGGGAACUGCAUUUGAUACUGGCAGACUAGAGUAUGAUAGAGGGGGUAGAAUUCCUGGUGUAGCGGUGAAAUGCGUAGAUAUCAGGAGGAAUACCAGUGGCGAAGGCGGCCCCCUGGAUCAAUACUGACGCUGAGGUACGAAAGCGUGGGGAGCGAACAGGAUUAGAUACCCUAGUAGUCC